AUACGUAGGGGGCAAGCGUUGUCCGGAAUUACUGGGCGUAAAGGGUGCGUAGGCGGCCGAUUAAGUCAGAUGUGAAAUACCACGGCUCAACUGUGGGGGUGCAUUUGAAAGUGGUUGGCUUGAGUGCAGGAGAGGAGAGUGGAAUUCCUAGUGUAGCGGUGAAAUGCGUAGAGAUUAGGAGGAACACCAGUGGCGAAGGCGACUUUCUGGACUGUAACUGACGCUGAGGCACGAAAGCGUGGGGAGCAAACAGGAUUAGAUACCCUGGUAGUCCACGCCGUAAACGAUGGAUACUAGGUGUAGGGGGUAUCGGCCCCCCCUGUGCCGGAGUUAACGCAAUAAGUAUCCCGCCUGGGGAGUACGGCCGCAAGGUUGAA
This 377-nucleotide ribosomal RNA is filed under the name uncultured bacterium. RNAcentral's name for it is "bacterial SSU rRNA". It matches the Rfam family "Bacterial small subunit ribosomal RNA", at positions 523 to 898 of the family's 1533-position model. The record is from RNAcentral.